GACAGAGGAUGCAAGCGUUAUCCGGAAUGAUUGGGCGUAAAGCGUCUGUAGGUGGCUUUUUAAGUCUGCCGUCAAAUCCCAGGGCUUAACCCUGGACAGGCGGUGGAAACUACGAAGCUGGAGUACGGUAGGGGCAGAGGGAACUUCCGGUGGAGCGGUGAAAUGCUUAGAGAUCGGAAAGAACACCAACGGCGAAAGCACUCUGCUGGGCCGACACUGACACUGAGGGACGAAAGCUAGGGGAGCGAAUGGG
RNAcentral lists this ribosomal RNA (253 nucleotides) under uncultured bacterium. RNAcentral's name for it is "partial 16S ribosomal RNA". It matches the Rfam family "Bacterial small subunit ribosomal RNA", at positions 524 to 776 of the family's 1533-position model. The record is from RNAcentral.